Molecule: ribosomal RNA, 333 nt
Filed under: uncultured bacterium
Lineage: Bacteria
Description: bacterial SSU rRNA
Rfam family: Bacterial small subunit ribosomal RNA
Source: RNAcentral
AACGAACGCUGGCGGCGUGCCUAACACAUGCAAGUCGAGCGAGAAAAGGGGGAGCAAUCCCCUGAGUACAGCGGCGCACGGGGUGAGUAACACGUAGGUGAUCUCCCCUCGAGCCCGGAAUAACCUACCGAAAGGUGGGCUAAUACCGGAUAUGACCACGGGAGUUUCGGCUCCUGCGGUGAAAGAUGGCCUCUACCUGUAAGCUAUCACUCAAGGAUGAGCCUGCGUGCCAUUAGCUAGUUGGUGAGGUAACGGCUCACCAAGGCGAUGAUGGCUAGCUGGUCUGAGAGGAUGGCCAGCCACACUGGGACUGAAACACGGCCCAGACUCCUA